UACGUAGGGUGCGAGCGUUAAUCGGAAUUACUGGGCGUAAAGCGUGCGCAGGCGGUUUUGUAAGCCAGGUGUGAAAUCCCCGGGCUCAACCUGGGAAUGGCAUUUGGGACUGCAAGGCUGGAGUGCGGCAGAGGAGACUGGAAUUCCUGGUGUAGCAGUCAAAUGCGUAGAUAUCAGGAGGAGUACCGAUGGGGAAGGCAGGUCUCUGGGCUGACACUGACGCUCAUGCACGAAAGCGUGGGGAGCAAACAGG
Molecule: ribosomal RNA, 253 nt
Filed under: uncultured bacterium
Lineage: Bacteria
Description: partial 16S ribosomal RNA
Rfam family: Bacterial small subunit ribosomal RNA
Source: RNAcentral